GAAAGGGAUGUGAUCUAAUAAACAGAUGAGGUGACAGCCUCACUAGAUAUCCUGGGAAAUGGUGGACGGACCGGGUUCAUAAGGAACCCUACCGUGAACGUUGUCUCAUACCAGACAGGGUAUGGAGACUUGGUCAUUUGGCGCUCAUACCUAAUGGGGUAUGAGGACGGCCCGCUUCACCCUCAUACCGAAUGGGAUAUUGAGGUUUAAUGUUUUGGCACUCAUACCGGACGGGGUAUGGGGACGGUCAUAGAAUUAAGAUUGUUAAGAGAAAGGGUUCACGUGUAGCGGGGACACCCCUAUGGAUCCUCAUAGAUACUAGUAAGCUGGUGAAACAAGAAACGCUGAUGAUUAAUUAUUGUUAAUGAAUAUGAAUUUAUGAUAU
This 385-nucleotide long non-coding RNA is filed under the name Carica papaya (papaya). Its description in RNAcentral is "long non-coding RNA (CPAP_LNC002171)". Lineage: Eukaryota; Viridiplantae; Streptophyta; Magnoliopsida; Brassicales; Caricaceae. The record is from RNAcentral.